CGCCACCAUCGCUUCCCCGAUUCAGGAGGUCAAGGAGGACGCCACCAUCGCUUCCCCGAUUCAGGAGGUCGAGGAAGACGCCACCUUCGCUUCCCCGAUGCAGGAGGUCGCCACCUCAGCUGAGGAGAUAUAGACUUUGUAAAAUUGGUUAGACGCAGAGUUGCGUCAAUAGACCCUCCCCUCCCCGAUAAAGGAGGUCGAGUCAGUCGCCACCCAGGUUCAGGAGGUCGAGGAGGACGCCACCCUCGCUUCCCCGAUUCAGGAGGUCGAGGAAGACGCCGCCACCCCUGUUCAUUUGGUCCCGCAGAAUUGUUCUGAUUGGUUGGAACGCGAUUUUCACAAUGCUUUAAUGGAGUCACUCGCCUCCCCGGAGGUCGAGGAGGACGCCACCCUCGCUUCCCCGGUUUAGGAGGUCGAGGAGGACGCCACACAGGUCCAGUAGGUCCAGCAGAAUCGUUCUAAUUGGUUGGAACGCGAUUUUCACAAUGCUUUAAUGGAGUCACUCGCCUCCCCGGAGGUCGAGGAGGACGCCACCCUCGCUUCCCCGGUUUAGGAGGUCGAGGAGGACGCCACACAGGUCCAGUAGAUCCAGCAGAAUCGUUCUAAUUGGUUGGAACGCGAUUUUCACAAUGCUUUAAUGGAGUCACUCGCCUCCCCGGAGGUCGAGGAGGACGCCACCCUCGCUUCCCCGGUUUAGGAGGUCGAGGAGGACGCCACACAGGUCCAGUAGGUCCAGCAGAAUCGUUCUAAUUGGUUGGAACGCGAUUUUCACAAUGCUUUAAUGGAGUUACUCGCCUCC
Penaeus vannamei (Pacific white shrimp) is the source of this 799-nucleotide non-coding RNA. Lineage: Eukaryota; Metazoa; Arthropoda; Malacostraca; Decapoda; Penaeidae. The record is from RefSeq and is a predicted model, not a curated record.